UCGCUACUACCGAUUGAACGGUUUAGUGAGUUCCGAGGAUUCAGCGCUUCAGGGUCUUGUAUCCUGUUGUGAUGGAGAGCAGGUGCAAACUUGAUCGUUUAGAGGAAGUAA
This 111-nucleotide ribosomal RNA is filed under the name uncultured eukaryote. Its description in RNAcentral is "partial small subunit ribosomal RNA". It matches the Rfam family "Eukaryotic small subunit ribosomal RNA", at positions 1676 to 1785 of the family's 1831-position model. The record is from RNAcentral.